AGUGGCGCACGGGUGAGUAACGCGUGGGUAAUCUGCCCCGGUCUGGGGGAUAACGCACCGAAAGGUGCGCUAAUACCGCAUAAUCCGGCCUUAGGGAAAGGUGCGAACCGGGAUGAGCCCGCGUCCUAUUAGCUAGUUGGUAGGGUAACGGCCUACCAAGGCAACGAUGGGUAGCCGAGCUGAGAGGCUGAUCGGCCACACUGGGACUGAGACACGGUCCAGACUCCUACGGGAGGCAGCAGUGGGGACUUUUGCGCAAUGGGCGAAAGCCUGACGCAGCAACGCCGCGUGCGGGAUGAAGGCCUUCGGGUUGUAAACCGCUUUCAGCACGGACGACUGACUGUACCUGCAGAAGAAGCCCCGGCUAGCUACGUGCCAGCAGCCGCGGUAAUACGUAGGGGGCAAGCGUUAUCCGGAUUCAUUGGGCGUACAGAGCGCGU
This 440-nucleotide ribosomal RNA is filed under the name uncultured soil bacterium. RNAcentral's name for it is "bacterial SSU rRNA". It matches the Rfam family "Bacterial small subunit ribosomal RNA", at positions 94 to 572 of the family's 1533-position model. The record is from RNAcentral.